GAUGAACGCUGACAGAAUGCUUAACACAUGCAAGUCUACUUGAACUUCGGUUUGGGUGGCGGACGGGUGAGUAACGCGUAAAGAACUUGCCUCACAGUUAGGGACAACAUUUGGAAACGAAUGCUAAUACCUGAUAUUAUGAUUUUAGGGCAUCCUAAGAUUAUGAAAGCUAUAUGCACUGUGAGAGAGCUUUGCGUCCCAUUAGCUAGUUGGAGAGGUAACGGCUCACCAAGGCGAUGAUGGGUAGCCGGCCUGAGAGGGUGAACGGCCACAAGGGGACUGAGACACGGCCCUUACGCCUACGGGAGGCAGCAGUGGGGAAUAUUGGACAAUGGACCAAAAGUCUGAUCCAGCAAUUCUGUGUGCACGAUGACGUUUUUCGGAAUGUAAAGUGCUUUCAGUUGGGAAGAAAAAAAUGACGGUACCAACAGAAGAAGUGACGGCUAAAUACGUG
This 454-nucleotide ribosomal RNA is filed under the name uncultured bacterium. RNAcentral's name for it is "partial 16S ribosomal RNA". It matches the Rfam family "Bacterial small subunit ribosomal RNA", at positions 28 to 507 of the family's 1533-position model. The record is from RNAcentral.